RNAcentral lists this long non-coding RNA (1433 nucleotides) under Gallus gallus (chicken). RNAcentral describes it as "lncRNA (ENSGALG00010006422.1)". The record is from RNAcentral. Lineage: Eukaryota; Metazoa; Chordata; Aves; Galliformes; Phasianidae.
GAGGGGCACCCAAUGCGCGGAGCAGCGCGGAACGCAGCGCGGUAACGGCGGCUCUGGGAGCGCGCAUUGCUCCGCGGUGCCCCGGUGCCAGCGCGCAGCCCCGGCGAGAGGUUGGACUCGGCUCCGUCCGGACGUAGCUCAGUUCUUUUCCUGCGAGGAAACGCCUCUGAGUCGGGGUUAACCUUCAGCCUUACGCCGAGAGCCGGGAGCUCGAAGAUGCUCUCCCGGCUCUCAAACCCGAACAAAAAGGAGCUGCAGAGAAUCGCGGGUUUUGGCUCCCAACAAAGAGUUCCCGGUCACGGCAUCCCGGGGCGAAUUCUUAUCCCCGCGUCCGCUCCGAGUAUUGGAAUCGAUAGAACAUAUCACGGCUCCGAGUCCUCUCCCCCCACGCGGCGGCGGCUGUUGCUCGUCCCGCUCCGUCCCCACCUCACGCCGGGUGCCACAGCGGCGGUCCCCGCUCAGCACACGGCCGAUGGGGCUGCGGACACUUCUGGAAUCACGUGGAAAAAAAGCCCCCGAACGUCGGUAAAUAAAGGUGUAUGCACUGAACGCGUUCCCCGCAAUCUCACAGGCACCGGUGAACAAACUCAGCAAAUAUCUGAGGGUGUGACUACAACGUCGGAACGAACUGGCUUUUGGUUAUGGGUGAUUUAGAUAACGUACUCUUCCUUUUUUGCUUAACUAUCCUACGCGACCCGUCCCGUAACCUCAGAAUGUGCUGUGGGAUGUUUCUCUCUGCCCCCCCCUCCCUUUGCCGUGCCCCCACAGCUUUCCAGUCCGCACGCCUUUUGUUUUUCCUCUUUGUAAACGCGUAUUAAAAACCGCUGUGAGUGCGCGAGGUGGGGACGGGCAUCUGCGGGUCGGGGCGGCUGCGGUGCUUCUCCGCGACGUCUCCAUCUCCUUCGAGCAGUGCUCGGCAAUGGAAAACGGCAGUUGUGAAGCGCUGGGGGAAAUGACAAAUGGAUGCUCCGGCAGCGUCCGCAAAUGUCGAUCGCUCGUAUGCAGCAGCUGCGUGCGUGCGUGUAUCUAUCUGCGUGUAUAUAUACACACAUAUAUAUUUACUUAGGCGCAGUUUGCUGCUCUCCGGGCGGGACGGGACGCUGCAAGGAGCGGCGAGCGAAUCCCCUGGAGGUGAAAGAGAGGGCAGAGCGGGGGCACCGCCGCUCCCCGCACACCGAGCCCAAGGGGGUCCUGCGGGCACGGCUGCCCAGCCGAGAUGGGCCCUUCCUUCCCGAGGCCGGGAGGGACGCGGCGAUGCUCGGAGCUGCGGAGUGUGCGCGAAGCUCUUAGCGCUAUUGAUUCUAAACUUUCUUCGUGAAGACAAAUUUACCAUAUGUCGAUGUGUAAACACUUGGGCAUAAAAUUAAAACCAGCUCCGCGCGAUUGUCACCGCUCUGGAUUCUGACGCAAACGAUCAGAUGUCGGUGCACUUC